UAGGGAAUUUUCGUCAAUGGGCGCAAGCCUGAACGAGCAAUGCCGCGUGAGUGAGGAAGGUCUUCGGAUCGUAAAGCUCUGUUGCAGGUCAGAAAAGAGGAAAGAGGAAAUGCCUUUUCUUUUUGAUAGUAACCUGCCAGAAAGUCACGGCUAACUACGUGCC
Molecule: ribosomal RNA, 163 nt
Filed under: uncultured bacterium
Lineage: Bacteria
Description: partial 16S ribosomal RNA
Rfam family: Bacterial small subunit ribosomal RNA
Source: RNAcentral